This 497-nucleotide ribosomal RNA is filed under the name uncultured bacterium. RNAcentral's name for it is "partial 16S ribosomal RNA". It matches the Rfam family "Bacterial small subunit ribosomal RNA", at positions 28 to 507 of the family's 1533-position model. The record is from RNAcentral.
GAUGAACGCUGGCGGCGUGCCUAAUACAUGCAAGUCGAGCGAACAGACGAGGCGCUUGCUCCUCUGACGUUAGCGGCAGACGGGUGAGUAACACGUGGAUAACCUACCUAUAUUACUGGGAUAACCUCGGGAAACCGGCUCUAAUACCGGAUAAUAUAUUGAACCGCAUUGUUCAAUAGUGAAAGACGGUUUUGCUGUCUCUUCUAGAUGCAUAUGCGCCGCAUUAGCUAGUUGGUAAGUUAACGGCUUAUCAAGGCUACGAUGCGUAGCCGACCGGAGAGGGUGGUCGGCCGCACUAGAGCUGGGACGCCGACAAGGCGCCUGCGAGACGCAGCAGUAGGGAAUGUGCCGCAAUGGGCGGGAGCCUGGCGGAGCAGCGCCACGUGAGAGAUGGAGAUCUUCGGAUCGUAAAACUGUGUUAUUGGGGGAAAACAAAUGUGUAAGUAACUGUGCACGUCUUGACGGUACCUGAUCAGAAAGCCACGGCUAACUACGUG